GCGUAAGAGCCCGUAGGUCGUUUGUUACGUCGGAUGUGAAAACCUGAGGCUCAACCUCAGGCCUGCAUUCGAUACGGGCAAACUAGAGUUUGGUAGGGGAGACUGGAAUUCCUGGUGUAGCGGUGGAAUGCGCAGAUAUCAGGAGGAACACCAAUGGCGAAGGCAGGUCUCUGGGCCAAUACUGACACUGAGGAGCGAAAGUCUGGGGAGCGAACAGGAUUAGAUACCCUGGUAGUCCAGACCGUAAACGGUGGGCACUAGUUGUGGGAACCUUCCACGGUUUCUGCGACGCAGCUAACGCAUUAAGUGCCCCGCCUGGGGAGUACGAUCGCAAGAUUAAAACUCAAAGGAAUUGACGGGGCCCCGCACAAGCAGCGGAGCAUGCGGCUUAAUUCGACGCAACGCGAAGAACCUUACCAAGGCUUGACAUAUAGGGAAAAGUGGCAGAGAUGUCAUGUCCGCAAGGGCUCUAUACAGGUGGUGCAUGGUUGUCGUCAGCUCGUGUCGUGAGAUGUUGGGUUAAGUCCCGCAACGAGCGCAACCCUCGUUCUGUGUUGCCAGCAUUUAGUUGGGGACUCACAGGAGACUGCCGGGGUUAACUCGGAGGAAGGUGGGGAUGACGUCAAAUCAUCAUGCCCCUUAUGUCUUGGGCUGCACGCAUGCUAC
RNAcentral lists this ribosomal RNA (666 nucleotides) under uncultured Actinomycetes bacterium. RNAcentral's name for it is "bacterial SSU rRNA". It matches the Rfam family "Bacterial small subunit ribosomal RNA", at positions 558 to 1228 of the family's 1533-position model. Lineage: Bacteria; Bacillati; Actinomycetota; Actinomycetes. The record is from RNAcentral.